CCAGGCUGAAGACUUUGCCGGAUUAGCUUGAGAGGUGUGCAUGGCCGUCGUCAGUUCGUACUGUGAAGCAUCCUGUUAAGUCAGGCAACGAGCGAGACCCACGCCCACAGUUGCCAGCGUACUCUCCGGAGUGACGGGUACACUGUGGGGACCGCCGCUGCUAAAGCGGAGGAAGGAAUGGGCAACGGUAGGUCAGUAUGCCCCGAAUAUCCCGGGCUACACGCGAGCUACAAUGGUUGGUACAAUGGGUAUCUACCCCGAAAGGGGACGGGAAUCUCCUAAAACCAAUCUUAGUUCGGAUUGAGGGCUGCAACUCGCCCUCAUGAAGCUGGAAUCCGUAGUAAUCGCGUUUCAACAGAACGCGGUGAAUACGUCCCUGCUCCUU
This 385-nucleotide ribosomal RNA is filed under the name uncultured Methanosaeta sp. RNAcentral's name for it is "bacterial SSU rRNA". It matches the Rfam family "Archaeal small subunit ribosomal RNA", at positions 954 to 1338 of the family's 1478-position model. The record is from RNAcentral. Lineage: Archaea; Methanobacteriati; Methanobacteriota; Methanomicrobia; Methanotrichales; Methanotrichaceae.